UACGAAGGGGGCUAGCGUUGUUCGGAAUUACUGGGCGUAAAGCGUGCGCAGGCGGCUUUGCAAGACAGAUGUGAAAUCCCCGGGCUUAACCUGGGAACUGCAUUUGUGACUGCAUGGCUGGAGUGCGGCAGAGGGGGAUGGAAUUCCGCGUGUAGCAGUGAAAUGCGUAGAUAUGCGGAGGAACACCGAUGGCGAAGGCAGUCCCCUGGGCCUGCACUGACGCUCAUGCACGAAAGCGUGGGGAGCAAACAGG
RNAcentral lists this ribosomal RNA (253 nucleotides) under uncultured bacterium. RNAcentral's name for it is "partial 16S ribosomal RNA". It matches the Rfam family "Bacterial small subunit ribosomal RNA", at positions 524 to 776 of the family's 1533-position model. The record is from RNAcentral.